Molecule: ribosomal RNA, 620 nt
Filed under: uncultured Acidobacteriota bacterium
Lineage: Bacteria; Pseudomonadati; Acidobacteriota
Description: bacterial SSU rRNA
Rfam family: Bacterial small subunit ribosomal RNA
Source: RNAcentral
GUGAUGAAAGUCCUCUGUGCCGGAGAGAACUCGUUGAGUGUUCCGCCUGGGGAGUACGGCCGCAAGGCUGAAACUCAAAGGAAUUGACGGGGGCCCGCACAAGCGGUGGAGCAUGUGGUUUAAUUCGACGCGACGCGAAGAACCUUACCGGGGUUUGAACUGCACCUGAACGAUCUAGAGAUGGAGAGGUUCCUUUCGGGGACAGGUGUAGAGGUGCUGCAUGGCUGUCGUCAGCUCGUGUCGUGAGAUGUUGGGUUAAGUCCCGCAACGAGCGCAACCCUUGUCUGUAGUUGCCAUCAGGUGAAGCUGGGCACUCUACGGAGACUGUCGGCGAGAAGCCGGAGGAAGGUGGGGAUGACGUCAAGUCCUCAUGGCCUUUAUGUCCCGGGCUACACACGUGCUACAAUGGGCGGUACAGAGGGCAGCGAACCUGUGAAGGCAAGCGAAUCCCAGAAAACCGCUCUCAGUUCGGAUUGCAGUCUGCAACUCGACUGCAUGAAGUUGGAAUCGCUAGUAAUCGCGGAUCAGAACGCCGCGGUGAAUACGUUCCCGGGCCUUGUACACACCGCCCGUCACAUCACGAAAGUGGGCUGUACUAGAAGCCGCCGGCCUAACCCUCG